CCUACGGGAGGCAGCAGUGAGGAAUAUUGGUCAAUGGACGAGAGUCUGAACCAGCCAAGUAGCGUGAAGGAUGACUGCCCUAUGGGUUGUAAACUUCUUAUAUAUGGGAAUAAAAUGUUCCACGUGUGGGAUUUUGUAUGUACCAUAUGAAUAAGGAUCGGCUAACUCCGUGCCAGCAGCCGCGGUAAUACGGAGGAUCCGAGCGUUAUCCGGAUUUAUUGGGUUUAAAGGGAGCGUAGGUGGAUUGUUAAGUCAGUUGUGAAAGUUUGCGGCUCAACCGUAAAAUUGCAGUUGAAACUGGCAGUCUUGAGUACAGUAGAGGUGGGCGGAAUUCGUGGUGUAGCGGUGAAAUGCUUAGAUAUCACGAAGAACUCCGAUUGCGAAGGCAGUUCACUGGACUGCAACUGACACUGAGGCUCGAAAGUGUGGGUAUCAAACAGGAUUAGAUACCCGUGUAGUC
Molecule: ribosomal RNA, 460 nt
Filed under: uncultured bacterium
Lineage: Bacteria
Description: partial 16S ribosomal RNA
Rfam family: Bacterial small subunit ribosomal RNA
Source: RNAcentral